Molecule: long non-coding RNA, 1181 nt
Organism: Micropterus dolomieu (smallmouth bass)
Lineage: Eukaryota; Metazoa; Chordata; Actinopteri; Centrarchiformes; Centrarchidae
Exons: 8
Source: RefSeq, a predicted model, not a curated record
CUCAGGAGGAAGAAGUUGCCCUGUUGAAUGAAGAUGCUUACAGCGUUGAGAAGGAACAUGGAACCACUCUGACACCUGAAGAUCCAGCGGUACAGCAGGGGACUGGGCGCUGAUCAAAGCCAUAAAAAGAAAGACCUCGUCCAGUCCAAGGUGGGAAGGCCCGUUCCAUGUCCUACUCACCACUGCCACAGCACUAAAGAUCGCUGAACGAGCCACCUGGAUCCAUCUGUCACACUGUAAAAAGGUCCCAGGUGCUCAGAAAGGAGAUUUCAUGGAGCUGUUGUUCUCUGUCUGGGGCUGCUGUGUGUUUUCCUGAUGGCUGGGCUCAUUGGCCUCGGUGUUCACUACCGUGAAUCAGUACGUGAUUCAUCUGCAGAACUCUCCACUGUGAAAGCCAACCUGACGGAGCGUCUCCAGAGCAUUAAUAACGAGAUGUCUUCUGUGACUGAAGAGAGAGACCGACUGAAUGCCAGCCUCAGUGAAAUUACUGAAGAGUUGGACAAGCUUCAGAGUUUGUCCAAACAGAACCAUGAUUCAGCACAGCGUUCAGCUGCAGAACUCUCCUCUAUCAAAGUGAACCUGACUGAGCUUCUCCAGGCCAGAGAUAACAAGCUUUCUUCCCUGACUAAAGAGAGAGACCUGCUGAAUGCCAGCCUCAUUAAAAGGACUGAAUAGUUGGAAAAGCUUCAGAAGAAAACCUGUCCUGCAGGAUGGAAGAUGUUCAGUCAUAACUGUUAUUUCCUCUCUGAUAAGUCUGGUUCUUGGGAUAAAGGCAGAGAGGACUGUAAAGGCAAAGGAGCAGAUCUGUUGGUGAUAAACACCCCUGAAGAGCAGAAGUUUGUCUUAGAGUUUUCCAAGAAAACCACUUGGAUUGGGUUGAACGACAGAGAUCAGGAGGGUGUCUGGAAAUGGAUAGAUGGAACUCCAUUUACUCUGAGGUACUGGGCGAUAAAUCAGCCUGAUAAUGGUGAUGGGGACCCAAUAUGGGGUGAAGAGGACUGUGUACAAAUCAAUGCUGAUCACACUCAUUGGAACGACCUGUCAUGUCAAACUUCUCUGCAAUGGAUCUGUGAAAAAAUUGCAUAACUCUGAUGUAUAACUUUUUUCAAGAUCAUAUAUUUGUAAAUGCUUUUAUGUAAGCUGUUAUGCAAAGCUUUAGUAAUAAGUGCUCAUGUAUGUUU